RNAcentral lists this ribosomal RNA (466 nucleotides) under uncultured bacterium. RNAcentral describes it as "partial 16S ribosomal RNA". It matches the Rfam family "Bacterial small subunit ribosomal RNA", at positions 28 to 507 of the family's 1533-position model. The record is from RNAcentral.
GAUGAACGCUGGCGGCGUGCUUAACACAUGCAAGUCGAACGGUAAUGCUCCUGCUUUCAGGGGUUCUCGAGUGGCGAACGGGUGAGUAACACGUGGGUUAUCUGCCCUGCACUUCUGGAUAAGCCUAGGCAACUGGGUCUCCUACCGGAUCGGACUAUGGUUUGGAUGCCAUUGUGGAAAUUUUUUUCGGUGUGGGAUGCGCUCGCGCCCUAUCCGCUUGUUGGUGGGGUUGUGACCUCCCAAGGCGUCGACGGGUAGCCGGACUGAGAGGGUGGACGGACUCAGUGGGACAGAGAUACGGGCCAGACUCCUAAGGGAGGCAGCAGGAGGGAAGAAUAAAGAAUGGGCGCAAGACGGAGGCAGGGACGGCGAGUGAGGGAUGACGGCCGUCGGGUGGUAAACUCCUGUCGCGAGGGACGAAGCGCAAGUGACGGUACCUGGAGAAGAAGCGCCGGCUAACUACGUG